This 479-nucleotide ribosomal RNA is filed under the name uncultured bacterium. RNAcentral's name for it is "bacterial SSU rRNA". It matches the Rfam family "Bacterial small subunit ribosomal RNA", at positions 28 to 507 of the family's 1533-position model. The record is from RNAcentral.
GACGAACGCUGGCGGCGUGCCUAAUACAUGCAAGUCGAGCGGACCUUCGGGGUUAGCGGCGGACGGGUGAGUAACACGUGGGUAAUCUGCCCAACUGACUGGAAUAACGCCUGGAAACGGUGCUAAUGCCGGAUAGGCAACUGGUAGGCAUCUACCGGUUGGGAAAGGUGCAACUGCACCGCAGAUGGAGGAGCCCGCGGCGCAUUAGCUAGUUGGUGGGGUAACGGCCUACCAAGGCGACGAUGCGUAGCCGACCUGAGAGGGUGGACGGCCACACUGGGACUGAGACACGGCCCAGACUCCUACGGGAGGCAGCAGUAGGGAAUCUUCCGCAAUGGGCGCAAGCCUGACGGAGCAACGCCGCGUGAGCGAAGAAGGCCUUCGGGUUGUAAAGCUCAGUCACUCGGGAAGAGCGGACGAGGGAGUGGAAAGCCCUCGUCGAGACGGUACCGAGAGAGGAAGCCCCGGCUAACUACGUG